GAUCAUGGUCUCAGGACGAACGCUGGCGGCGUGCUUAACACAUGCAAGUCGAACGGAGCACCCUUGAAUGAGGUUUCGGCCAAAGGAAAGGAAUGCUUAGUGGCGGACUGGUGAGUAACGCGUGAGGAACCUGCCUUUCAGAGGGGGACAACAGCUGGAAACGGCUGCUAAUACCGCAUGACGCAUUCGGAUGGCAUCAUCUGAAUGCCAAAGAUUUAUCGCUGAAAGAUGG
RNAcentral lists this ribosomal RNA (232 nucleotides) under uncultured bacterium. Its description in RNAcentral is "partial 16S ribosomal RNA". It matches the Rfam family "Bacterial small subunit ribosomal RNA", at positions 15 to 228 of the family's 1533-position model. The record is from RNAcentral.